UACACUCCUGCGGGAGGCAGCAGUGGGGAAUUUGGGACAAUGGGCGAAAGCCUGAUCCAGCCAUGCCGCGUGCAGGAUGAAGGCCUUCGGGUUGUAAACUGCUUUGGUACGGAACGAAACGGCCUUUUCUAUUAAAGAGGGCUCAUGACGGUACCGUAAGAAUAAGCACCGGCUAACUACGUGCCAGCAGCCGCGGUAAUACGUAGGGUGCAAGCGUUAAUCGGAAUUACUGGGCGUAAAGCGUGCGCAGGCGGUUGUGUAAGACAGUUGUGAAAUCCCCGGGCUCAACCUGGGAACUGCAUAUGAGACUGCAUAGCUAGAGUACGGUAGAGGGGGAUGGAAUUCCGCGUGUAGCAGUGAAAUGCGUAGAUAUGCGGAGGAACACCGAUGGCGAAGGCAAUCCCCUGGAACUGUACUGACGCUCAUGCACGAAAGCGUGGGGAGCAAACAGGAUUAGAAACCCUUGUAGUCCCA
RNAcentral lists this ribosomal RNA (474 nucleotides) under uncultured organism. RNAcentral describes it as "partial 16S ribosomal RNA". It matches the Rfam family "Bacterial small subunit ribosomal RNA", at positions 332 to 797 of the family's 1533-position model. The record is from RNAcentral.